Gorgonomyces haynaldii is the source of this 74-nucleotide non-coding RNA. NCBI's taxonomy places the organism in Eukaryota, Fungi, Chytridiomycota, Chytridiomycetes, Rhizophydiales, Gorgonomycetaceae. The record is from the annotation of a GenBank genome assembly.
GCCCUUGUAGCUCAGCUUGGUAGAGCGUGAGACUUUUAAUCUUAAGGUCCGGGGUUCGAGCCCCCGUAAGGGCU